Helianthus annuus (common sunflower) is the source of this 1121-nucleotide long non-coding RNA. RefSeq lists it as uncharacterized. The transcript has 7 exons. NCBI's taxonomy places the organism in Eukaryota, Viridiplantae, Streptophyta, Magnoliopsida, Asterales, Asteraceae. The record is from RefSeq and is a predicted model, not a curated record.
UCCAAACCCUAUUCAUUUCAUUCGGCCGCUCUUGCAUUCUUCAAACCCUAAUCUUCUUCAUCUUCAACCCCCCAAAAGCACAAACCUGGUGAAAACCAAACCCCGCAAGACCAAAAUUCAAACACUCAUCUUCUUUCGUUCACCUUAUCACUCUCUCUCGCAAACAGGAAAGAGGACUCAAACCGUAUACACAAAUCUCAGAAAACCAGAUCUGAGUCUUUUACAUUCAAAUCUUAUGGUUGGUGAAGACAGAGAGUGUGGCUCUUCUUUUUUGUAUGGAGCCUUGCGAUAAUCUGGAUUUCUUGAAAGACAUGGAAUGGGAUCUGGGGUAUUGGUGUCCACUUAUUGAUAAUAUAUGUUUCUUGCAGUAGCUUUGUAAGCUUUAAGAUAUUAGGUAUAUCUUACAAUCAGAUCACCGGUGAAUCCCAUACAAUAUUGGGUCUCUCCAAGAUCAUUUGCUGAAUGAGGUGGUGACCCUUAUUUCUAAUCUGACUGAAGAGAAAAAUUAUGCUUGUAGAGUUGGAAGGAUAUAUUCGUCCUCGAUGUACAACCUUGACUAUUUUUAUUGAAUGCCAAGGUUUAUGUGGUUGAAGGUGAUGUCUCUAUAUAUGUGUUCAAUAUUCAACUUUUAUGUAUGAUCCCAACUGUUGCAGAUGGCAUAGCUCGCAAAAGCUUGCACCGAAUGAGGAUAUGUGACAAAGGACAAGCAAGAUAGAAUAGCAUAACAAAAUGUUCCAGUUGAAGGUCACCGGGGAAAAGUCGUUGAAUUUAAUGCUGAGGUUCAAUUGGAGAAGACUUAACGCUGAGGCAUGCUUCCACGCGAUGCCGCGAUUCCCAUCCCACAACCAAUGCCUAUUACAGCGUUGGCUUCCGCUCUUGCUAACGCGUCACUAGAUCAAAAGAGGACGAUAGCUGGGUAAGAAUCUAUAUCCGUUGGACCAGCUAAGGUGCUUUUGGAGAUGGACCAAACGGAGGUGUUGCAUUUGCUGGAAUCACCAGAUGCAUUGAAGGUGAAAGUUACUGGCAUGACUUUGCUUCUAGGGUUUUGUAUACGAUGAGUCGAUGAUAUUCAUCUUCUACAUAGCUAUUAUUGGUUCACUUGGAGCCUGAAGCGAAAAAAA